UACGGAGAUGGCAAGCGUUGUUCGGAAUUACUGGGCGUAAAGCGCGCGUAGGCGGCCGGGCAAGUUGGGGGUGAAAUCCUGCGGCUCAACCGCAGAACUGCCUCCAAAACUGUUCGGCUAGAGGGCGGCAGGGGAGAGUGGAACUCCUGGUGGAGCGGUGAAAUGCGUUGAUAUCAGGAGGAACGCCGGCGGCGAAAGCGACUCUCUGGGCCGUUCCUGACGCUGAGUGUGCGAAAGCCAGGGGAGCAAACGGGAUUAGAUACCCCAGUA
This 270-nucleotide ribosomal RNA is filed under the name uncultured prokaryote. RNAcentral describes it as "partial 16S ribosomal RNA". It matches the Rfam family "Bacterial small subunit ribosomal RNA", at positions 524 to 792 of the family's 1533-position model. The record is from RNAcentral.